GACGAACGCUGGCGGCGUGCUUAACACAUGCAAGUCGAACGGAAAGGCCCUUCUUUUGUGGGGUUCUCGAGUGGCGAACGGGUGAGUAACACGUGAGUAACCUGCCCUUGACGUUGGGAUAACUUCAGGAAACUGGGGCUAAUACCGGAUAGGAGCUCCUGCUGCAUGGUGGGGGUUGGAAAGUUUAGGCGGUUGGGGAUGGACUGGCGGGUUAUCAGCUUGUUGGUGGAGUAGUGGCUUACCAAGGCUUUGACGGGUAGCCGGCAUGAGAGGGUGACCGGCGCCCAUGGGCCUACGAUACGGAGCAGACUGCUACGGGAGGCAGUAGUGGAGAGUCUUGCACAGUAGGCGGAAGCGUGUUGCAGAAGCGCCGGGUGCGGGAUGAAGGCCUUCGGGUUGUAAACCGCUUUCGCCUGUGACGAAGCGUGAGUGACGGUACUGGGUAAAGAAGCACCGGCUAACUACGUG
This 468-nucleotide ribosomal RNA is filed under the name uncultured bacterium. RNAcentral's name for it is "partial 16S ribosomal RNA". It matches the Rfam family "Bacterial small subunit ribosomal RNA", at positions 28 to 507 of the family's 1533-position model. The record is from RNAcentral.